Long non-coding RNA from Manis pentadactyla (Chinese pangolin), 3507 nucleotides. RefSeq lists it as uncharacterized. The transcript has 2 exons. Lineage: Eukaryota; Metazoa; Chordata; Mammalia; Pholidota; Manidae. The record is from RefSeq and is a predicted model, not a curated record.
AAGAUAUAUUGUUAAGUGAAAAAAAAAAGGUAUAGAAUAGUAUGUAAAGUGUAAUGAAAUCCAGAUCUUGGAGAGGCUGAGUUUGUGGCACACUGGAUGGCAGAGAAGCUCAAUGGGAUGGUACAGGCUAGGGGUGAAGACACCAGCUGAGCACCUGUGAGGCCCCCCUGUGAGAGCUGGGAAGCUGGCUGAGAUGCCCGCAGAACUCACGGAGUGCUGCUGUGCCUCUCCUGACCUGCAGCUGCUUUCAACUACCAGGACGAGCUGGGAGAGCCCUGGGGAACUUGGAAGAAAUGCCCCUUCCUCUUUCGGUGUCCCUUUGGUGCCCUCUUCUGGCAAAGCUUAACACCUUGCCAGUUGGCAAAAAAAUGUUUAUAGGUUCCAGCUCCAGUGUCAAACAUUGGAGCAAGGAAGGAUGGAUUUGGAGUGGAAAGAGUAUUAAAUUGAUAAUUGGCACACAUACUGAAGUAUUUAUAGAUGAAAUAGGAUGUCUGUGAUUUUCUUCAAGACAAUCCUUUGCACGGGGGUAUAAGAUUAAGCAAGAUUAUUCACAUGUUGAUAAUUGUUGAAGAUGGGACUAAUUAUAAAGCGGUUCAUUAUAUUCUACUUUUUAUAUACAUGAGAUAUAUAUAUGUUCAAAUAUGUAUGAGAGGGAUACCUGAGAUAUAUAUGGUAAUGAGAUAUAGAUGAGAUACAUGUUCUAUAUUUGAAAUAAGCAUAUAUAUGCAUAUAUACAUAUACAUAUAUAUGUAUGUAUAAACAUUCCUUACUUUUAGUACUUAAAAAAACUUAAAAAUGUGAACUGAUAUGUUACCUGUCCCUAGGAAGCUAAAGCUAUAUUAUAGUCUAGCAAUCUAGGACUGUUCAGAGUUUGGGGGAAGCCAAGUCUCAACCUUAUGUAAUCUAAAUAUGCCCUGACUGGGAAGGCGGAACGGCUGCUCUAGCUGCCUGUGGGAGAGAAAGGGGUUUCCAUCCUAUGGAAAUUUUGGAGCUGGGGCUAGGUGGCCAAUAUAGGUACAAACAUGUUUUAAUGUUUAAAGGGCCAAAAUAAUUGCCUUAAGUGAGUUAAUGUGUAUCACGGGCUUAAAAUAGCGUCUAGAAUAUUCUAAGUGCUGUGAAAGUGUUUCUUAUUAUUUUAUGUUAGUGAUUUCCCCAUCCUCAGCCAGCAUGAAACAAUCCUUACUGCUGGCAAGGCCCCUCCUACCCUCCUGACGCAGUGCUGAGACUCUGUAAGACCCAAGAAUCAGACCUUGGACUGUCAUAGGAGAGCACCUCAGAGUCCCCCUGUUUCCUUUGCUGUUUGUUUUUCUAGGGGAGAGUCAGCGGGAGCACUGCAGCCACAGAACAGGGUCUGCCAGCACACUCGGCCAGUGCGUGUGGGGCGGGGAGCAAUAAGGUGGUGGCUCCCUAAGCCGGCAAGAGAGCGGGCAGCAGAAUCUGCUGUGCACAGCGGGGCCCUGAGUGCGGGUAGGCUGCAGGUGGGGCCCCAAAGGAGAUCAGGGCCCUCACAGCACUGUGGGGCCCAUGUAGGCACCUACAGGAGCACAGGAAUGUAGCUGAGAUGUCUUGCUUUAUGGGAGGUGAGGUGGGGGUUAUAGACUGUAGACCCCAAGGAUUUUAACAAAUGGUGGAAGGAAGCUGAUGGAACCUUGACUGGAGGUUUUGGAGGGUGUUGUUUUAUUUAUUGCCCCUGGGUGAUGGCAGCGUGUUUGUGUGUGCACAUGUAUUUGUGUGAUAUAUGCAUGUUCACGUGUGUAUAAACAUGUUUAUAUGCAGCAGUGGUAACAGGAGGAUUUAAUAUCCCAGUAAAAAUGAGUCAAACUUCCUAUGUAGAUUGAAUAGACAAGUGAACAAUGCUGGGUAAUCAACCUGAUAAAUAUUUUUCCCUUUAUAGUGGAGUUGCAUUUCAUAUACAUUAAGUUUAUGGGAAUUCACCUUAAAGUGCUUGGCUGAGUAAACAGUAUACAAAACAAUAAAAACAAGACAGAAGUUAGAGAAAGACAAAAAUAUUCAUUUUAAUAGAGCAUCAACUAUGACAACAACUGGAGCUUCCCUGUGUCAUCCCAGUUCUUGUGUGACUCUCAGAGUAGAACAUCUUGUUGCUGUCGGUGGGAUUCUAACUGCUAAAGAUAUAGUUUUGUUCUUUUUUUUUUAUACAUAUUUGUAGAACAUGCACCCUAAAUGCAAACCAAAUAUCUCAUCCAGAACUCAAGAAUACCAACUUCUCACUGCCAUACAAAGUUAAAAAUUUUGAAAAUUAUAUUUUUCAUGUUUGUUAGAUUAAGUGAAAUCAUUGGUAUAUUAAGUGGAAUAUUACUGUAUGGGGCUGUACACACAAAACUAUGCAUUUCAAAUUGGUCUAAGGGAAUUUUCAAUAGAUACUUAGGUGCUGUAUAAUUUUAUUUUGUAUGGUGACUUUAGACCCUGUUCCUGCAUAAAACAUGACUCCUCUGUUUGGUGUCCAUCAUACAUACUGAAUCAAAACAAUGAUCCCAUUUGAAUGUGUUAAAUCAGUGUUGCACAAAGGGUGUGCAAAAAUUCAAUGUUUAUCCAUUCUUUUCGUACAAAACAAGAAUAGUUCCUUAAAAGCAGGGUGAGUUGAAGAUGAAAUUCAAAGUGAAGAUGAAGUUAAAAUGUAGUAUCUUGGGAAGGUCAAGGGAUGCUGGAAAACAAUCCUUAUAUCUCAAAGGGACUAGACAAUAGCAGAUAGAAAUGUGAUAAACCUGCCAUGAGGACAUGGAUUUGGCUAUGUCAGUUUCAAAGCAUAAGCUUGGUCUUAUCUGUUCUUACCUGACAAUGUGAAUACUAUAAAUUCACAUUCAAGCCGUCCAUGCCCAACCUGGCCCCUACACUUUAGCCAUGCUGUGUACAGCAUGAAGCAUCCCCUGAUCCAAAGCAGUCUUGUGGUCACUGCUCAGGAGGACUGAAAGUGCUCUUGAUUUGCCUACUCCCUUUCCUGUUGUUUUUUUGGACCCUUCCUAGGAAUUAUCAAUACUACUGGGCUGUCAGCCUGCCUGCAUUUCUCGUUGAUUGGAGGCACACAAGGCCCCUGAGAAGUGAACUCAAACUGGCCCAGCACUGGCUCUGGAUCACCGGCUGCCCCUUGCAGUCUGUGAGAGGGCCUGGAAGGAAGGAGAGAAAGUCAAUUUGGAAGAAUAACUGGCUGCUUUUCCUGAUUAUAAUACAGAAAAGAGAGAAAAAAAGAAGUCAAAAGCAGGGCCCCAUUCUCCACUGUCUAACUCUUACCUCCAUCCUUCCUCCUCCAGAUUGGGGUCAGGGCUCACCUCAGUUCUGGAGAACAUUGACCUGACCAUCAGCUGGGCUGCUUAGAUGCCUGGUCCUUCUUUGCACCAAGUGGGCUAUGGCCCCAUCCUGAAUGCUGCCAUGCAAACAGUACCCAUUCAUCACUGAUGGGUCAUGUCUACUGGCUUCUCUUUUUCUUCUACAAUCAUAUGCAGAGCCUGGCUUCAUGCUUGUAGGAAUUAAUAAAGGAAGAGACAAACAUUA